GGCCGGUUAGCUCAGUCAGUUGAGCAUGACUCUGACAACGCCAAGGUCGCGGGUUCGAUUCCCGUUCGGUCC
RNAcentral lists this transfer RNA (72 nucleotides) under Apaloderma vittatum (bar-tailed trogon). It matches the Rfam family "tRNA". Rfam says of the family: Transfer RNA (tRNA) molecules are approximately 80 nucleotides in length. Their secondary structure includes four short double-helical elements and three loops (D, anti-codon, and T loops). The record is from Rfam by way of RNAcentral. Lineage: Eukaryota; Metazoa; Chordata; Aves; Trogoniformes; Trogonidae.